Ooceraea biroi (clonal raider ant) is the source of this 20004-nucleotide long non-coding RNA. RefSeq lists it as uncharacterized. NCBI's taxonomy places the organism in Eukaryota, Metazoa, Arthropoda, Insecta, Hymenoptera, Formicidae. The record is from RefSeq and is a predicted model, not a curated record.
ACGCGACGAGGGGCUCGACGGAGAGCGAACAAGCCGGCGCGAUCGAGGGAGAGAACGCGCGAGGCACGAGGGAGAAGGAGUGAGAGAGCCGGAGCGUUGCGUGGGGAGCGAUCGCAGCUCGUCAUUCGAAGCCCGCCAACGGACGAGCGAGCAGCCACGGAACGGGACCGCGAUUGAGGGAACCCACGCGAUUCUCGCGGUACGAAAAGGAAGAAACGAAAGAGAGAGAGAUAAGGGAGCAACACGCGAUCGGUGUAGCGGCUGAGCGAGGAGAGUAAGUUACGCGGGAGAGGAGUUUACGAUCGCGCUCGCUCGCUCGCCGAGAGGGAAUUCCGCGGGGUUGUAAGUUCGCUCGUCGUGACAUUCGCGCGUUCGGUCUUCGGUCGAGUCGAACGAAGCGCUCGGUUCGCGCUUCGGUCAGCUUCGGUCGCGAUCGGAUCGGCUGCAGUGCCCGCCGCGGUGCAAGUCUCGCGUGUUUUCGAUAGCGGAAAGAGGAAAGAGAAAGAGGAAGAAAGUGUGAGAGAUAGUGGGGAAUGCAUUGACAGAACAAGUGAGAAAGAAAUCGGUAGGGAAGGAUAGCAAGAGAGAAAGAGAAGGAGAGAGAGAGAGAGAGUAAAAGAGGUGCUGACGACGAGGUGGUGGAAGCAAAACGAAAUUGUUGACAGUGAUAAAAAGUGACUCGUAUCCCGCGCCUCAGGAUAUCGUCGACCCACGCUCGAUUCGUCCUGAUAUAUCGUCAAGGUCGGAGCACGAGGAUUGACUGGAACAAUAUAUCGGAGAGCCUACGGCGAGACACCGAGGAGGACGAAGGGAAGAACGGGAGAGAAACACGAGGAGUGAAAGAAAUUGUCCUGUGAGAAUCGCUCUUACGCGUUUUUCGCGCGUGCGGUGAUAUCUGUGUGUGUGCGCGAAGAUUUUCGUGUCGCGAGCACCUGUCGAGGAUCCUGCUUCGAGAAUCGGUGUACCGCGACGAGAAAGUGGAACGCAUCCCCGUUGCACUUUCGGAGUGAUCAAGUGUCGCGUCAGCUAGCUGGCUCUACCGCCCAAUUCGCAGCGGCCGAAUUCUCGCGUGUGUGCGCGCGCGCGCGCGCGUCGUACCUCGACGUAUCGCUGAAUUCGCCGAAAUUCGGAGCGCUAUUGUUUCGGGCUCCCGCGAAGCUCGCCGUUAAGUGCGCACAGGUUCGGGCCAACCAUCUCAUCGCAGCUGCGAGUGUUCCCGCUGCACUUGGUACGCACGUACGUGCACUUGGCGCGACGAGCGUACCGAAAACCGCACCGACUCGCUCGCUCGUCGCCGUUGCUCUCGCGAUCGCACGCGAUUUACGGAGACGAAUUGAGAAACAGGCCUGCUCCAUCGCGCGCGAGGAAGCAACCGCCAACUUUGAUUUGCUGAAAGCUGAUUCGCCAGUCCCACUUGCGGCUAACGUCACGGCUAACGACGAACUGGGACGACGAGGAACCGCGGCUAACUUCCGACUGACCACGGCGGUGUCGGAAGGAAGUCGCUUACUUUGCUCGCGAAGGCGAGAAUAAUCGCGCAUCCCGGUCGAGGUUGCCGCUGGUGUGUUCUCUCUCGGAAAACAAUCGGAGCGGCACGGGGAUUGACGAUCGAGGGACGCACAAGUGAGAACCGCUACCGGAAAGGAUACGCGAAGUUGCGAUACACUGUGCGCGGGAGGUAAGUGAAUUAGUCGCGAGUGUGCCGUCGAUCUUACGUGACAUUCUCGCAUGUCGUGUAUUUAACAUUCGAUCAGUGUUCUUUUCUCGCGAGUGACGGAAGAAGAACGGAGGAACGACAGAUCAGUGCGAGCGGAAGGAAGGCAUUGCAUCGUUGUGUGCAUCGUCCUUACGCCUCCAUUGUUGUGUCGCGUAAAGUGAGGCUGCCGCGAUAUAUAUAUAUAUAUAUCGAUCUCGCAUUCCGUAACGACAGCGCCGUGACGAUCUCGAUUAGACGAGCACUUCAGUCGGCCGGUUUCGCCCUCGCGAACGUGAACCGCUCCAACGGUCAUCUCGCAUACAGUGAUACAUACAUAUAUACGCGUUAUUGUGUGCCCGCGUGCGCGUUCCCCCGUGCGUUCACAGGCUGACGAUCGACGUGCAUCCGUCGAUCGAUCGCGCGCGCGGUCAAUUCGGUGAAUCGGAGUUCCCGGAGUGCGUUCACACCUGCUCACGAGCGGGACGUGAUUCGCGCGCGACAGCACUGACGCAUCCGUGAUCAUCCGCGAGUACCGGCGCGAGUAUCGCAUCAUCGCCGGAAAAACACCGCUGUUUUCCGAGCACGUAAGCGUAAACGCGCGAUCGCUCUUUCGCCGGUCCUGCUCACGAUUUAUUUCGGAUCGGACGCGGUCGCGUCGCGCCGGCAGCCUCCGUACGUUCGUUCGCUCGUCUCGGGAAAGUCAAGCCCCGGGCCGGUGCUCACGUGACGAAGGUGCAGACGCUGCCUCCUCGGUCACUCGGAACAAGUGACCGACAGGACACACGUUUUUCUCGUGGAAGCGGUACGCAAACGGCCUCAAGAUUCAGCUCGACGUCAUGCCGUGGUUCAUCCUAUUUCUCCUGCUGCUGGCCGUGAUGGAGGCCUUCCCUCGGGAGGCCACCUGUUCCCGCCUGCCGGACAUCUACUGGAACUCCACCAAUCCAAUGUAAGUACCACAAUAUCUUUCGUGGACGCAGAGACGAUACGAGGCCUCUGAAUUCAAUUUUGUAAGUAAAUUCACAUAAUUAACAUAGCUUUGUGCGCGAGAUUGCGUUUUAAAAAGAUAUUUUAUUCUAAUUUGCCUCUUGUAUUUACUUAUAUUACGAUGUUAUGAUGAGUUUCCUUCUCUCUAUGACAAGUUGAGCAAUCAUCGCAUUGUAAAGAUAAUUUAGACAAGCAUUUUCGGAAGCACAUCUGUGAUUUGUCGCGGAAACUGAUUUCUCGUAGAAUUCUGCUUGUUUCGACCCCGUGUCGCUACAGUUCGCGAGCAGACGCAUUAAUUUUACCUUGCUUUCCCCGCUCGCCCGCGUUCUGACCAGCGCUGGGGAAUGGCGAAAUUUAUACGGAAAUAACGCGCCCGAAUAAAUUGCACACUUAAUUGUAAUUCUAAAGCCUUGCCCUCUCGGGCGCGACCCGCACGUGAUACAUUUUUAAUACCGCAGGACAUCAAUCUCGCAUUAGUCCCCACUUGUACGUGCAAAAAAGCGGGAGUGCUUCUUGGAAGAUCUAGAAUUACGUGACAUGUAACGACCAUUGCUCUCAUUUAUUCCUUUUCUUACAUUCCGCUCACUCUACUCUCUCGCCCUCGUGCCCCACAAUGCCGGCAUGAAAGCAGUGAAGAACAUGUACUUUAUGGGUCUUAGAUUGCGGCAGAAAGUAAAAUGGGACAUUUCCUUCCUGCGGGUAUCUUGACUGUCGUUAGCAGCAAUCUGACGUGGGUGCGUUACGUGUACUGGUAUAGAUAAAUACGCGAACAGAUAUUCCAACCGAUUAACGGAGAAAUAUUUAGUAUACCCGAACGAUCUAAUUUUUCAAGAUCGUUGCACUUGAUGCAAAAUGAUUUAUUUGCGCGCGUUGAAAAAUCGAAGGGGUCAACGGUAAAAAAAGUUUGAAAGUCUUUUGCAUAAAAGUGCCGUUAACGUUGCAUAGAUGACAAAAUUGAUUUAUAAAUGCAAUAAUUUACGGUGGACGCGGCGAGCAAAUCGAUAUUUAACCGUAGCGAUAGUCACCUCGUUAUCCACACGAGUUUGCAGUCGGCGCACGAAACGGUCGGCUCUGCUGCAAAAUGUAAAAAAGCGAUCGCACAGUCACCGAUUGUUCCGAUAACUUGGUAGUAUGAGCUACCUGCUGCGGGACGAAGGGAUCGAAUCGGUGAGUGCCGCGCACUCCGACGCGCUAAUUACGAUUCCGACACGGAGGACACGUAUAUACGAACGGUAGCGAAAUCGCGCCGCGCCUCGCCGAACAUUAUUAAAAGUCUACGCUUUUACGAUCCUACGCGCGAGACCCUUUCUCCCUUCCGGCCCGCCCUCGACUUUAAUCAGCGCGCCGAGCAGAUAUGCGUAAAUUAUUGGCGAGAGAUGGAGCGGACUUACAAGCGGGUACUCGUACAUUUGGAAUUUCCGCCCUUCGACGCGCAUAUCGCGCGACGUUCGUUCGUUUGCGCGGCACUCGCAGACGUGAUUAUCAUUUCGAGUAUUUUCUGAUUAGAGCUCUAUCUACUUUGAUUAAACGUUUGUGAGCUGUAGUCCAUGCUACACGCUAUAUAAAGCGACGCGAGGUAAUGACUGCGUACACACAAUGUUGAAAUCGUGGUAUUACAUUCGUAAAGCGCAGCUUCAUAGUUCGAACGAGUAAAUUGAGAGCUCCCGUAGAUUAACCCGGAAGCGUAAACGCGUACCAUCAUUUCCAAGCGCCUAGACGUAGACUAUACGCUAGUGUAAUACGAGAGGGCGCAAAAAGGAGGAUACUGCAGCACAACACAGAAGAACAUUAUGAAGGCGAAUAAAUAUGUAUGCGUCCCGAGGAUGCUCAAGCGAGUGUUCAAAGCGGGAAGCGAGGGGAGACGGGCUCGCAGGGGUGGCCUGCGGGAAGAUAAAGGGCGGUCGAGAAGUAAGAAUUCGAUUAUCUCGGCGGAUGCUCGAACUUCUCUCGGAUUUCCUGGCGCGGAUAAUGGAGCACUCUUUGAAGAAAGCUUUCGCGCGCGCGACCGGGAUACCCGGUCGCUGCUGUUCUCUCUUUCUUCUGCCUUUCCUCUUACGCAUCCACUUCCUCUCGCUUGCGCGCGCGCGCGCUACCUGUUUCCGUCUUCUUCUCCUCUUUUGCGCGGGAUUUCUCGUUCGUUUCAUCGAAUGAAAAUUCAAAGCUGUCGCGGACGAAAGAGAGGAGACGUAACCAUGGAUAGACAAUGACGACGGGAAGGAUUCGUGCCGCGCGCGCGCGAGGUGAUGAACAGAGAGGGUGCGAUGCGCCCUCCCUGAGUCGAUGCCCCUCACGACACAACCGGGCGCAUCCACAACGCCCAACGCGGCUCGGGCGAGUUUUUUAGCGGGUAAGAAUUCCGCACACCGCCGCCUCCCUGUCCCCGGGGGCGGCCGGUCUUUUUGAAGAUUUCUCUCCCCCACCAAAAAAAAAGAAGAGUGCGAUGCGCCCAAAGCGGGGAACAAUACCAGAAAUUUUAGCCAACGGUCAAAAGAGAGAGAGAGAGACAGAUUGCCAUAGAGAGAAGGGAGAGAGAGAGAGAGAGAGAGAGAGAGAGACUUGUGAGAGAUAGAAAGGCUCCACACAAGAUAAAGGACCCGGAAUUUCAGGGCGGUACAUCUGUCAGUCUCUUCGCGUGGCUUUUGGCUCGGACUGUGAAUUCGGCUUUUAACGUACGUUGAAUCGCCCUGUCGCGUCGCCAGGGUGAUCGAGCACGCGUCUUUACGAGCGACGUGAGCACCACGUGCGAGACAACACGCGGUAAGCGUUGCGUUAAACUCCGCCGCAUUUUCCAGCACGUGUUUAUGAACCGUGAUUCGCUAAUUUAUUUUUACCCGUGUCGCUGUGGUUUAGUUUGUUAAGGUUUAUUAAAAAUAAUCUGUACGCGCGAACCAUUUUGCAUUCGUAUAUUUUUUUAUAAAUUAUAUUUAUAUUCAAUACUUCUGAAUACCGCGAUUAAAUUUGUGUAAUUCGUGCAAAUUUGUGCUCGUUGAUUUGUGUUGAUUGUUGGCAAUUAAUACUCACAAAUAGAUAGUUUUUUUCAUUUCUAUUCGCUUAUUGAGCCUUCUGUUUUGAAAAGCAACGUUUGCAUUGUUCAUUAUUGAUGAAAAAUAUUAUUUGCAGCUUUUUGCCCGAGUAGAAAAAUUCCACCGUAACAUUAUGUAUUUACGUUAUGCACUAUUUGAAAGAAUUCCGCCGUCAAACGCGCACGAGGAGAGAAAGAAAUUUUUUGUCUGAAGCCUAUAUGUCGUAUAUAAAACUGCGGUGAAAGUCAUCCAUCAUCUCGUAUCUUUUUGUUGCCGUUCAACAAACUAACAGAGAGAAAAUCUUAAUCCACUUCUCGUGGGGGAAACUAUCGUCAUUAGUUGCGCUAUGUUUCGUUCCCGACGAUAUCGUCCAAGUUUUUCUACUCAAAUGCAUUUCGGCUCGUCUCGUUUUCACUGUAACGAACUAAUCGAGAUACUAACAAAGUAGUUGGAUUCAACGCGAAGUGUUCUCGGCAUUCUCUGUGCUGAUGAGAAAUAAGCUUAAACAAAAAGAUAAAAAAAUUGAUAAAGAAAUUAAAUUUAUUUACUUGAUGAUUACAUGCAAAAUACAGUUUCAUUAUCUAACUAUGUUAAGGAAGGCAAUAAUAUAGAAAAUCCAGUUCGAUAUUCCCAAAUAGUAAUGUUGAAUAUUUAUCAAGAUAAUAUGAGAUAUUGCUUUCUUCAGAAAAACGGAUACAAUGAAAAAGUAAGGAAAUCUAUUGCAAACAACUUGGAGAUCAUUAUUCACUAGAUGCGUGUCAAUUCGAAAUUCUCGGAGUUGGUUUAUUCGGCCAUGAUUCGUGGCAUUCCACGGGCAUCCUCUCGUUCUCCAACGAGCUUACUUGUACGUUAAUUGCCGCGAGGGUUUGGGGUGACGCACAAUAACGAGGGCGUUCCUAAAUUUCGGCAUACAGGUAGCGAAGUGAAUUGAGGAGCAACCAGAACCUGGACCUCAUCUUCCUUCUGCUGCUUCCUCCCAGCGCUUCUUUCUCUCCAUCAUUUUAGUGCAUACAAUCACGAACACGUACGCAGAGACGUGAGGGGAAGCAGGGAGAGGGAGGGAGGAGAGAGAGAGAAAGAGGGAACAGACUGCUGUGCCUAGUGGCACAUUGUUGGCUUAACUGCUCGCGGAAAAUUGGGUGGGCAAAGCUUUGACAGGUUGUUUGGUAAACAGGCUCAUGCGUUUACGUACAAACUGUAGGCAGCAGACGCUGCAUCCCCGCUUGUGAUUCGUCAAUGCUCCCUUUCAGUAUGUGUUUCCAUAGAAAAUAGCCUAUCGCAAAGUGGUGUCACUGUCUGCGGCACGACAACUGCAAUUGUAUUCCAUUAGGACUUUCGGACGGAUACUCGAGAUUUCGGUGAUGCAAGAGGUUCAGGAAUGAGUGUCUAAGUUUGACUUAACGUGUCAGAGACAUCUAUUGCGUAUACGUAUAUAUACCUACGAGAUAUCUUUUAUUCACGCACAAUGUUACCGCCACUUUUGUCAUCCGCAAGUUUGGAGAAAUCAAGGAAAAUGGUAUUUGUUACCACUCACGUAACUCUGUGCGCGCGUAGUUGGAACGUUGCCACGAGCACGGUGGCCGGGGGAUGAAAUUUUUGGAACAAUGGAAUUGUCGAUAAGGUGACCGGGCGGAAAUUGUGGCGGGAGGCGGUCAAGACGAAGGCGACGGACCUGCGAGAACAAGUCGAAGAGAGUUGAUGGGCAAAAAGAAGCGGGAAGAGAAGGCCUGCGGUCGUGCCUAGCCAUUUUAAGGACUCCCUUCUUCGUCCUCCUCCUUCUCUCACUUACGACAGAAUUGACCGUUUCUAUUUUACGGCCCCUUUGUUCUCAUUUAAUUCUUAUCCCGGGCUUAUUGCGUUCUGGCGGUGCCGCCGUUGCGGCGUACUUUAAUGGAAAUCCAUUUACGAUCGGCGAUCGAUGUUACCGCGCGCGCAGCACCAGCGGAUGUCACGUGCGAGGGGUGGCAAAGGCCUCGCUAAAACAGAACCGAUGAACCGGAAGAGAACGCGGUAGACACGAAUUUACAGUACGAAUUUAUUAAACGUGACGGCUACCGGGAUUUUUUAUUAAAGGGCAAAUAUAGCGGCUCGUCCGAAAAAUAUAAUUUGGCGUAUAGUUCGCGAAUAGUUCGCGAAUAGUUCGCAAAUUUUUUUAUCCAUUUCUGUCGAUUUUUCAUUGUAUUUUCGUAUCUCACUGCGAACGAAGUGAUAGUCGUCGCACGACACGCGUUACCGGUGAUGGCUUUCCGUCAUUCAAUUAAGCGAGCCUCUGCCUAUUGGCGCCGUGAACGCGGCCGGGCUUUAUUGUUGAAAUUCUGAUCCGUUCAUUGUCGAUUUCCUUUGCAGGGUUUUCGCGUGCUAGCGAUUUUCCGGUGGAAACCCGAACGCGCUUCCGCAAAAUUCCGAUAGAUGUAAAGCGAAGCAGAUAACUUUUAUUUGAGAAACCAUCGAAACCGGAGACCGUGGAAUCUUGAUCCAUCCCGGGACAAUUGUUCUUGCUCGCGGUGCGCGAACGGCAUACGAAAAUCCGUGCGACGCAGUCGCGUUAAUAAAACCUAAUGCAAGUCAAUCGGCGGGGCCGCGCGCGACCCGGAGAUUCUAGUUACCGGUCGAAAUCAAAGUUCAAUUAACUUUUCUGCGGGAACAAUCGGUGGCUGAUGAAGCGAGGGUGCGAGGAUCGCGAUUCGCAAUUCCGAUAGAAACACACACACCGUCCGCCAUUGCAGAAAGCUAUCCGCGCUUGUAUGCACUCGCGGACGCUCCGAUAUCCGCGCGAAUGUAGUCUGUGCGUCUAUGCAUGCGUGUGUAUACACGCGUGCAUGCGCGUGUACACAUUUUCCCUCUCGCUUCUCUCUCGCGGGGCUGCAGAAAAAUACUCGUUGUUUGUUUUUCGCUGUCUGCCGACCGCGAUGCGGAACUCCUCGGGUAUCUCGCUUGGAAAUACGUAAUUCCUGUACUUGAUUAGUUUCCUUUGCGCUAAAGGGAUUUUUAACCCGACCGGGGGCAUUCAGCAAGGAACGCGCGCACGUUAAUCGCAGCGCGCCGCGCGGACUCCGCAUAGGCGGAGGCUUUAAUUCGGCCUCUGCCUUGGUAUAUCGAGCGAUAGUUUUCAGCCCACAACGAAUGCAGUUUGCGGAGGUUUCCAUUAGUUUCCGUACUGAAACAGCAAGCGGAGCUGUGUCCGAUUAGCUCUUACGGGCGAUCAAGAUCCGCCGGUGCAGAUUAACACGCGUGAUUUAUAUUGUUGUGUCGAUCGGUCGGAUAAAAUGGAAUAUCUGAUGCAACUGUUAAAAUACGAAAGUUCGCCUGCUCACCGCCUGCUCCGCACUACGUACGGUUAUCCGAUGCUCAUCUGACGUAUACAUGCGAAUGUAAAAUUUACAUUUACACAAACGCGAUUUAGGAGCACAAGUAGGUCGCGAUUAGCUCUUCCUAAAGCUUCCGACGCGGUAUCUCUCAGACGGCGCGUGUUAGAGAGCUAUUCUCCCAUCAGCUAAAUAAAUAGAAUAAAGGUCUCCAGCUGCGAAUAACUUUAGCACACGCUCCUCCUACAUGUCAUGGCUUGAAUGAAGGGGUGCAUUUCUUUGCAGACGCCAGUGUACAAGCUCCAAAAUUGCGUCAGGUAAGACGUCGCGAAAGUGAGACUUGUCGCCCAGCUCGGUGCGUUAGCACGCGACUAUAAAGUAAAAGUUUAACAAUGAAACACUUCCGUCUCCGUCGGGAUACAUAGUCGCGAUACAGUCGCGCGCGAACACUGAAACUGAGAGGGAUAAUUCAUGCUUGUUCUUUUGUUGCGUUGCUCGAUGACAAACAUGGCGACAUUAAGUUAAGAGGGCUUCUCUCUCGACGGGCAUACGACGGAGAACGUUGUUUCACGGUAAUUACGGGGCGGUUAUGGUCGUUAGAUGAAAUUAAUUAGAAACUACACUUUGGCCCGUUCAGCCGCCCUCCGGAAUCUUCGAUAGGUUGAAUACUUUAACUUUCAAAGUUUUCCGCGGGAAAGCGGUUAAAGCAUACUAACUUUCCUCAUCAGCCACCGAGCGUGGUUUGCAUGUAGGAGGUGAUCAUGUUUUAAAUAUUGACGUCAUUAAUUUGUGGAAAGUACGGGCACUCAUUUCUUUAACCUGAAGUCUUCAGUAACAGGAGUUAGACGAGAUCAUUUUAUCAAAUCUCCUGAGAACAGUGGAGACCGAAAAAAAGGGUGACACUCGGAGAUUUUAUUAAAUUACUUUAACUUAUUAAACAGAAGAAUAAUAAAAAGAUACUGUAUUCUUGUGAAAUGAAUUUUUGAUACGCUUUAAAUCGUCAUAAAAAUGUAUUCCCACAAUCUGUAAUUAAUUUAAAUAAAUGUAUAUGUAUAAAUGUAAAUGUAUAUAAAAAAGAAGCAUUACGGAGCAAACAUGAAAUGUGACAUAUCACGAAUAACAGCUUUUUCCACAGUUAUACAUAUAUCUUUCUGGAGUGCAAGAACUGGUCUCGAAAGAUCUAGGCAGUAGAGCAAAACACGAAGAGACGAGAUGAGGCAGAAGUAAAAAGUCGUAGUGCAAGAGGGAUACAGUCGUUAAAUUCGCGUCAUAAAUUAUGCGAGCGUCGUCCAUUCUCCAAGAUACUUUUCGCGGGGGUAUGCUUUAUGUAAAACACAGUUGCCGGCGUUCACGGACCGUUAUGUCGCGAUUACGCGCUGCUUUUCAGGCAAACAAUGCGUACUCGUCUAACGUGUUACGAUGCGAUGCCAGACGAUGCGAAAAAUUUUUCCAUCAAAUACUUCAUAACGACGAGACGCGAAAUUUCUCUCACUGAUAAAUAUAACGCGUUACCUUCGUUGGAAAUAAAAUAAAAGUAUUGAAAUAAUAUUACUGUUACGUUAUAAUAUUUAUCUUUUUAUAUCACUGUCAGAUGAAUCUGUCGCUGGAUGCAUGCCAGGUUGGCGGCAAAUAAAAAUAGUAAAGUUCAAUAGUGACAUAUAUAACAUCAACAAUUACGAGAUAGCAACUGGACGCAGAAGUGAAUUUUGUCGCCACAAAAUCGCUCGUAAAAUCCAUCCGGUCGUUAAAAGAUAAGCCACGUCCGGGAGUCGUGGUCUACGUGACGUUUCAUGGUGGACGAAGGGCGCAUGGAUGAAAUUGGCCCCGUACAAAAAAUCACUACUUUGAUUUUCCACCUACACCUCUACCGCCUGCCGGUCUCGGGUUAUCCGAGGCGGGGCGAUUUGAUCGCGCACGUCACGCACACGAGAGAAGACGGACGUGAGGGAAGGGUGGUGAAACGCAGCGAGGAUUUUGCGUGAGGCCGCGCGCGCUGAUUAAUGAUGCUAUCGACGUAUUCCGUGAGGCGUAGAGAGCAAUCAAUCGAUCCACACUUCCGGCAAGUGUCUAGCUCAGAAGAUACCACUAUCGGGUUCAGGAAAUACUUCACCAGGACACAGGAUAGCGAUUACCGAGAGAGAAAGAGAGAAAGGGAAACCGAGAAGGAGUGGGACGUAUCUCGUCGAGACGUAUCUCGUACGUAGAUACAUGUCGAUUGGUAGAAAUUGUCUCUAAUGCGUGCAUCAGGGAUUAUUUGGGCAGAACGAUUCUACAGCGUGAUAUGCUGAACAAGGCAAACGAGACCGUCUCGUCUCGUACGGAAUUCUUAACUUUUCUGUUACCAAGCGGGUGAAAUAAAAUUACUGCGAAGCAUUUUUUUCCUCCCCGACCGUUUUUUAAUCCCACCGUUGUGAAAUCUUGCACGUUCGCGGCGCGCCAGUUGGUUACGUUAUGCAAUGAAUUUAAGGCGGGAAAGACUCAUUGUAUUCCAUAAUGCUACUUUCGUAUUCGCAUCGCGUCUAUCACCAAGUUCAAGUUGGAAGAAAGAAAGAGAAUGAGAGAGAGAGAAAGAGAAACGUUCUAAAUUUUUUUCUCUGAGAUUUUCUUCUUUGAGAUAUCCCGCGUCAGAUUUAUUUUGACAUGAAUUCUUUUGUUUUCUCGAACGGCUAUUGGAUUUUGCAGUAUGUACGUUUAUAUAUAUGUAUGUAUGCGUGUAUGUGUGUAUGUAUACUAUGUAAACACCCCAAGCGUUAUUCUGAAAUAUUAAGCAUUUUGAAAACGAAGUGAGGGAGAGCAAUAUUGGACAAGAAAAAUAUAUAAUACAUUUAUUAGACCGGAUUUCAGUCAAAAAGAUAAAUACGGUUGUUGCAUAUCUCAUAUGCGUAGCUCAUCCUCUUUCCCAGUUGUAAAAAUGUACAGCCGCGAUAGAGCGGCUGCAGCACGAUUCGCAGAUACGAUACGCGGAUACGGACAUAUCCCUUUAAACGUUAACUAAAGCAGCCGAGUCGAAAAAGAAGUUUUAAGUCCAGGCGCGCUGUUGCUUUUAAAAUAUGGCAUAAAAUAUUCAGACCUGUUCUCUACAGGAACGAGGAGUGCGCUUGACGUUAAAGCCGGACUAUUAAAGGGUACGGGGUCUCUUGGUUAAAAAAGCCGAGACACGCGAGACGAAAUUUCCGAUGCACAUUACAUUGGCGCCGAGGCAGGGAUAACGGCAUCGAGAUGUAACCGUUGCCGCACCGUUGCCGUCCGUGUGUGACAAAUUUGAUAUUUUUCCGCUCUCGUUUAAUCCCCGAGCUACUCGGUGCUUCGACUUUUAUACUAGCUAGGCAGCCAGAUACCGAAAUGCGUCAUGAAUUUAAUAUAUCGUGAACGGUCUCGCGGUGACUUUCCAUGAAUUUCGCGGCGAAACUUAAAGGCACUUUAAUUUAGGAGUUAACUUUAAAGCGCCGAAUACAUUACGCGAAGCGUAUAUUAACAUCGGUGUUGAAUUUCAAGCAACCGCGCUAUUUAUCCGGCAACGCAGAACUUUGCGUGCGAUGUGUGUUUCGUGCUUUAAAUUCAAUUCGCGAUGCAAAGCGCGAGCGCGGCCGCGCUUAAACCCUUAAAUCUCGCCGAUGCAUAAUAUUUAGACGUGAUGUUGCUGCUGCUAGUGGUGGUGGUAACUUUGACCGAAGUAAAAAGAUCGGUCUUGUGCCUCCAUCGUGCCGCACGGAAUGUCUCUCUCGCAAGAAACGGAAUAUUACUGGCUAAGGUUACGAUCGCGAUGCUAAGGCUAAGGUUUUAGGUCGUCGGUCUCGGUUCUCGUAGCUCCGGAAAACAUCCCCGCGAUAUAAAAAGCAGCGUUCACCCAGGGCGCAAGAAAUACGAGCGCAGGGAUGCACCGUGAGUUUUAUACCGUCCCGUUCACCGGAAUCGUCGCUUUUCGGUUAACCGCGAACUCGAAACCAUAUCCCUCCUGAUUCCUCUACAACAAGUCUCACUUAUUCGGUCCACUUUCGUCCAUCAGGCAACGUCGUGGAACUUUUUCUUCUAACCGACGACCCUCAUCCGCUCGUGUGCGAGCGCGCGAGCACAUGAAUGCAACGUGAGACACGCAAGGAAAUGCAGCAACCUCGAAGAGCUUUCGGUCCAGACCGCGUUGCACCCUGUAUCAGGAAUUCCUUUCUCGGUAACAUGAGAAUGUCCGAGAGGAGACACGUCUCUCUCAACACGUGCUCUGUUUCUACCGUAUGCGUAUUACUAUAUAAGAGCUUUAGUGCAUCAUUAAAAUUAAACACUUUGAUAUUUCGUUGACGAUGUCGAUGAACUAUCAGAUAAGCUCGUAUAUUAGAAAUUAUAAAUUUUUAAGUGAUUUUCUUAUGUCUGAUUAAUGUAAUUAGCUUUUAAGUAUAUACAUCGAGAUUUGUUUCGGAUAUCAACAUUCGCGAUUCAAAACUGUUCUUUUUAUCAUCGCGUCAUCAGAAGCGCGACUGACGCAGCAAAGUUGUUUGCGGUGAUCUUUGAGAUGAACUAUGUCGAAGAAAUAUCGCGAUUACGCAUUACCGUACCAUCCGCGCCGGUUGAUGAAUAAUUAGAACAGUGGCUACGAGCUGCGCGGUGUUGUGGCUGCUAUCCCAGAACUUUGUAAUUGAUUUCGGACGCCUCGUCUGCGUUUGGUGUGACAAAUCAAAAUCACCGUUUCCGCGGUGCGCGAUAAUAAAGUUAUUACGUCUCUAGACGGUUGUCCCGCGAAGAGAGAUGGCUCGCCGUCGCGACGCUGCGGGUGCAGUUUGUAAUUUUGAAUUCGAGAUCAGAGUUCAGCUUAUUUACUUUAACUACUCGCUAGUUACGGAUUCCAUUUUCCUGCCGAAAGACGAAAAUUAAAUUAAAAGCUUUGUGGCUCCUUCUGCUCUUAUCGUGUUUUUCACUUUUUUCCGCAAUUAACUCGAAGUGCAAUAUAAGGAUUAUAUAUUUCCUCCUGAAAGCACUUUAAUCUGAAAAUUUCGGAUAGAUCUGAGAUUUUCCCAUUGUUUGAACACGAACAGGAAAUCAACAAGCCGGCAGGCAUUAAAUAUUUGUAGCAUAUUCGGAAGUACCUUUAUUAUUUUCUUUCAAGUCACUCCUUUUAUUGCGGUAGUCCUGUCAAACAGCAGUAAACGUUCACCGCACACAAAGGACCGUACAAUUUUCUCGUGUCACACGUUAAGUGCCAUUAAACCAAGUGGCUGCGACACAUUUCGUGUUCGACCCUGCAGAUUCGAGAUAAGGUAAAUUACAAGGGACAAGGGUCGCGUAGAUUAGAUUGCAUCUAUGUAUCAGAAUUGUAUCGUUUUUCAAAAAAUCCUCUAAUUCAUCGCGCCGCGCGCUAUAUCGUCUUAUUUUUAUUUAAUCAAAUCAAAUUAUUAAAGUGUUUUAACACGAUGGAUAAUUCAUCUUAAAUAUUCGCUAUUAUAGACCGCAAUAAAAUAUCCUCGCCAAGAGCAUGGAUAUGCGGAUAAGACCCGUGGAGUAUUACGACCUACGACCUCACAAGAAUCCCCAGUGGUACGUGUGCAUUCGAAACAGACACGCACAGUCUCGACACACGAGAGCGUUAUGCACACAUCCUUCAUGUAGGCACACGCAUGUAGGACACGUGCAUAGGAUAUAUCCGCAUAUACCGGUGCCUCGGGUAAUGGCAUAUAAUUAGGAACAGCUUGGCCUUACGUUCUAGGCCUACAAUUUUCGUUAGUGUGUGCCUUACGUCCCGCGUAUAUUCACGAUACACAUGUUUGAUCGCGCGGGUGUGUUGCAUCGUAGUGUAUGUAUCCCUGCAUGAAUACGCGGACGUAGUAUCCGCUGAAAACACUUUCGAGGUAUUCAUAGCACGAACUUGGCCCUGCGUGUGGCCCUGUGUUGUUAGCCUGACCGCUUAAUUGCAGAAAAUGUACGAUUAGAAAGAAAAGGAAAUAAGUUAAUCUCGGGAAUAGAAAUUCCCUUCGAGCAGUUUUACUGAAACGAAUGCGCGCUGAUUAAAUUCUCUUCUGAUAUAGAAAGUGCACGCGCGUAUACGCACACACAUAUAGAGUAAUAAUUAUUAUAAUAUUAUGGAAAUAUAUGCAGCAUUUAAUGCAAAAUUAAUAAUGCAAAAGUCAUUCUUCAGUAAAUAUCGAUUAAAAAUGGACAUGGAUGGUAUGUUUCGAUAUAUUUGUUCACGCAAAAAUCUUAAAUAUACUUUCGAACCAGAGAAUGAGGACUUUGCUGAACUUUAUGCAGGAUUAAGUGAAAAAAAGGAACCAACAAAAGCUUCGUGAUUUUAUCAUGUCACAACGAAAAGCCUUACAAGGCCGAAAAUUAGGACAAAAGAUAACUUUCGUCCACGGUAUCGACAAUACGCGUGCUCCUUUUCUGAUUAUUAUUAAUGAGCUCAUCUCGAAAAUUAAUGGUAGCGCCGUGCUUACAACGAACGUCGGACGAGGACGAAAGGGCGGCCUUGAACGAGAACUGCCAGGCGUAUAUCAAGUAUAUAUGGAAGUGAUGAUGCAAAAAGGCGCUAACGAAGCAUGACGCCGUGAACUGAGUGUUCCACCUCAAGGACGCCUUUCAUACUUGGUACGUUGCUAUAUUGGGAUAUAAUAAGCGCACAUAAAAUCGAAUGAUAUAUAUCAAAUCGAUGACUCGCUGACGAGGACAGAUGCAUAUCUUGUUAUCGUAUUAUAUCUUUAAUACCGUUAUUGAUCAGCAGUGUCACUGGAAAAUAUUCGUAUGAGAUAUGAUAUAAAUAAUAUAUAUACGAAUUUUUAAAAGUUAAUGAAAGAUUCAGGGUGUAUAUAUAUAUUUUGACAACGAGAGUAACUGAAUAACAAUUGCGAGAUGUUUGUGCAUCGAUUCUUCUCGCAAUAUGUUUGUGGAACCGAAGAAGAUUUGACUUUUUAUGUCUUUUUAGCGUAAAUUAUAGUUGCUAUUUAUUUUAUAAAAUACGGAAGAUAUCCUUUGAUGACCGUAAGUAAAGAUACCAUGUUACAAUAAUUAUGAGAGAAGCAUAAUUCCUUUCAGGUAUUAAAGUAUUUCACCGUAUCCGCUAUUUGCAAUGGCCAUAAAUAAUAACCGCUCGGAACAGUAAAUCGUUUAUGACAAAGUACACGCGGAGCGAAAAUUUCCCAGCAGCCUGCUAAAAUUACGCUCGAGGGCCUCGAGCGGUUUUUCCACGAGUCGUAGGUGAGACGUUUUCCUCGCAUUUUCCCCGCGCUACGCGCAGACAAAUCUAGCCGCAGUAUCGCGUGCAAGUGUACGCUAGCGUAGCUUCCUCUCUUCGUGUGUACACCAGUAGGACCGUGACAACUCCAUCUCAUACACGUCAUUUCAAUUUGUCCUUGGGAUGGUUCUGACAAAUAUUGCAGGUGCUCUCUCGCCCCACGUCUGCCUUUCGUCCUUUCUCUCUUCCUCUCUCUGUCUCUCUCUCUCUUCCUUUUGCCGCCCGUCUCGUGUCCUGAUGCCUCUCGUCCGAGCGAAAUUGCUCGGGAAAAAGGCAGGGAAACGGAGGAGCCGUGCGUACCGAGUCCGGAAGACGUUCUUAUUGUUUUAAGGCGGACAGGUUUAUUUACUGCCCGAAUAACCACGUAGAGAGCCCGACCCGGCCGUUCGUCCCACCACGCGGUAUUAAAUUGUGCGCCGCUGAAACUGACGUGGCACCAUGCAUUUCUUUCUCGCGAUGUUGUUAUCCCGGGAUUUUACGUCAGUCGUGAUUCACUUCGACGAAGAGUAGGUGCCCGACAAUAGCGUCGUGCGUGUAAGGACGACGCGAUGGAAUCGUUUUUGCAUUUCGGAAGAUGAGCAGUCACAACACUCUGGAAAUAUGAGUUUAUGACUGAACGGUACCAGCUCAAUGGGAAAGAUGCUUCGCGAUGUCAUCUGUCCCGAAACUAACACGAGCGAGAUAAAAGAAAUGUGCUAUGGAGAACACGCCGGAAUUCUUUCAGUCCGUCCACUCGUCGCGGUCGCGUCUCGCUGAGAAACUUUCUUAUUUAUGAAAUACUCGACGCGCUGAAAAUUACGGUGCCUCCAGCAGGAGCUCGCGAUCUCGCGAGCGCGACAACGUUGUUUUCUAUCGUGAAUUCCCACCCUCGAAUCGCCCUCCGAAUUCUCGCGCGACGAGUUAGCUGACGCGAAAUCUCUUUUCUACGCGAAAGCGUGGAAAGCAGCCCGUGGAAAAUAAAAUAUUAUCAGGCUUUUUGAGGGGGAAAAGCGUGCCAGGCCAGGGGAAUUGUGUUCUUGCUAUUGAACUGCGUCAAAGCUGCCGCCUCCACCGUCGAUCGUUCUUACGCGAGAGCACGAUGCCUGAUGGAUCCAGCUCCGCUCGAGAUGGCAGAGGGAGGAGGGGGAGGAAUCUCGUUAGGGAAAAAAAUAUCUCUAAGUCGCGCCAAAGGAGCGAAUUACCGGCGCGAAAGAAAACCCGGGGGACAAUGAGGCUGUCAUCGGUACUAACUGCGAAGAUAAAGACUGACGCUAUCUGGGCCAGAAUCAUUAGGAAUUGCCUUUUGUCACUGGCCCCGCGUUAUAUAGCGAACCGUUUCAAGCAAGCAAGCAAGCGCGCGGCCAGCUUCUCUCACGCUCAUACUUCUCAAGCUCCAAUUAUACGCUGCUCAAAAGACGGAAAAACUUGAAAUCUCCAUUGAAGCGUGACCGCUUUUCCUCCUCUGUCUCUCUCUUUCUUUUCGUCGUUUCGAUACGCUUUUUAUGUCCUUAGUUUUCUCUCGCUUCAUCUCGCGCUUUCGAUUGUGUCCCGUAGCGUCUCCAGGGAUGUCACCCUACCAGCUCGUUUUCUCUCGUUCUCUCCUUCCACCUCUUCUAUCCAUCCUGUUUCACCCUCCACCUAUAAGCGUUUCGACUCAAACCGCUCGGCAUCCAGGCAAGCAAGCAAGGCAUCUCAAAUGAAGGUUUUUUCCGUUAUUUCUUUUCCGUCACGCGGAUUGCUUCUGGUCUCCUUCUUUUCGCUCUUUCCGGCUUCUUUUUCGUUUCCUUUUGCGUCUUUACGUCACUAUCGUAGUUAUCCGUCACUGUAUAAGCUUCGACUUGUAAUUCUCCCCAUUUUUUGUGUUUUGCUGCAUGACAACGUCGCGAGAAAAAGACGCUGCUCGCGUACUUUUAGAAAAGCCCUGCGUUCUUCGUAUCCGGUUUCUUUGCGCGAAACUUGAGUAAUUAAAUUCAUCAGCUCUUUUAUCUUCUCGCUGAAUUCACUUUAACGAAAAUCCUUCGCUGCUGGUUUUAUGCUAAUAGAGAUUUUUUUUUAACACGCCACUUUUUUAUAAACAGGUACAAAUUUAGUCCAUCAACAAAUUUCUCAAUAAAUCGCCAGUAAAUCGUCGACCAAUAAAACCAUCAAAUGAAAGCGUGUAUCGAUUUAUACAUUUUUUAACUGCACUGACAACGAUCACUGGGUUAUACGCGCUCCCGUAAAAGCAGGUAUUACCACUUCAUAACUCGUGAGCCCAAAAUACGUACACGGCCAGCCAUGAAAACUCCGUAAUUUUACAGAAACGCGUAUAAUCCGCGUAACGAGAAGAGAGGAAAUCGGUGGAAGUAUGUAUAAUCUAUAACAUCUCUCUUUGCAUGAUGCGACUGUCUCACGAGCAACCCCGCGGCACCGAUACGUCGACCGGGGGCCAAUGAAUUUUAUCACUGCCCAUAUUUAUCGGCGAGGUGGAAGCAGCGACGGGGACGAAGUCGCAAACUGCACCGACUCCGAGAUAAACCCCCGGGGGCCCGUCGUAUUCUCCUAUGUCAAAUCUCGGCGCUGCUACGACCGUCGUAAAGUCUCGUAAAGCCCCGCUGGGCCGCCGUAACCGUUUGACGUUUCGCGUUUUACGCCGCGGACCUGCACUACCUACGCUCCGCAUAUUUAAGCACGUCUACGUCUUUCGGACCAUUUAUAACGCUCUGCGGACUCCAUUCUCGUCGACAAUCGAUCCCGCGCUAUCCUCCCCCGUAAACGACCGCUUCCGGCCGCCCCGUCAUCGAGCUCCGUCAGUAAUCCGCGAUGUUCGGAGUAAUAAUUAGCAGUGAUCACGUUCUUAUACUCCGCCUAUACCCGCUGUUGACUGAGAAUUGUCUCGUUACUCGUCAUCUGAUUUGGAAUUUGAUGUGCAAUUUCUGCGCGCACCUCACCGUUUCUCCGAGUAACUGCGCGAUUUUUAGAACGUUGCCGCAACUCGUUAGUCCAGAGUGCAGAGAGAAAAAUUCCGGGGGAAAUAAUAAAUCAAAAAAUGUAGAUACGUGUGCAGCUUACGGAUAUGACUGCUCCUGAGAGCUCCCAUAACCAAGUAAAAAAUUGACUAUUAAUAUCAGAUUUUUAUGUGCAAUUUAGGUCGAGUGUCUCAUCUCGCGUUCGAGAUUUUAAGAAAAACUUAAGCCACGGCACACACACAUAGGUGUCCUUGCGAGCGAGACCGUUGAUUACGAGUAAUAGAAUGUCACGCCAAUGCUAGUUACCUUGUUCUUGAGAUCAUAUAACGAAUGCACUUUAUCGCUUUGAUGAGCUGCAUUCUGGGACGCAGCGUCGCGACUUUGUAACGAGAGCACGACUUCAAUUUUAAAUGAGGUGGAAUCAAGUGCACUUUAUCGAUGGUAACUGAAACUAUUUCAGGCUCGGUGUCUGCCGUGCUAGCGUCAAGACUACUAAUCGAAGUGGAGGGAUCGACGUUUCCAAGCCCGAGGCGCAUUCCCAUCGUUGCACGCGUCCAAGGCCUGUUAUUAUGCGAACUUCGAAGCACCACCGUAUCAUAAUCGCUCGCGGAUAGGUUUUCUGCGACAUUACGCGGGGCGUUGCUGAAAGUGAUCGAGCGCGAAGCGAAUGACAAACGAUUUGAGUGAUAACAGUUCUCACGCACAAAUGAAUUCGUGAGUCAUCUGUAUUUCACUGGCAUAUAUGCAAUUUGUUCUACCUGUCAUUUUCGAUUUUCGUGUAACACGAAGAUGAAUGCGAGCAAAUGAAUGUGAGAUUUUAUUGAGGCUGCAGAAAGCUGAACUUAACAAAACAAAA